Molecule: small nucleolar RNA, 82 nt
Organism: Prunus persica (peach)
Lineage: Eukaryota; Viridiplantae; Streptophyta; Magnoliopsida; Rosales; Rosaceae
Rfam family: Small nucleolar RNA R38
About the family: snoR38 is a C/D box small nucleolar RNA conserved across yeast, human, Arabidopsis and rice. It is encoded in the intron of elongation factor-1 gamma in both pombe and cerevisiae. snoR38 guides the methylation of 2'-O-ribose sites in 28S rRNA.
Source: Rfam
UGCUGUGUAUGAUGAGAUCACAAUAUUAACAGUUAUCCCUGUCUGACUUUUGGAUGCUGAAGAAAUGUUAUCUGACACAGCU